This is a non-coding RNA of Tetranychus urticae (two-spotted spider mite), 2999 nucleotides long. The record is from RefSeq and is a predicted model, not a curated record. NCBI's taxonomy places the organism in Eukaryota, Metazoa, Arthropoda, Arachnida, Trombidiformes, Tetranychidae.
UUAAACUUAUAAAAUGACAAGUUAAUAUAUUGAAGUUAAAUGUAAUAAUUUAAGCAAAGUAAAAGGCAGCCAGAUUAGGUUAGCAAAUCGGCUGAGCUUUGGCUGAGGUAGAGAGAGCGUCAUCAGUUUUAUUUUUUUAUUAGUGACUUCAGUAGCCACCAAAUGAAAUAGCCAUAGGGACAUGAUAACUAUGUGAUAGUAAAAAUAAAAUAUCUUAUUGAUUGCAACAAUUUAAGCCUUGAGGCAGUUUCUCAGGCUCUUUAUGAUAUUUUUUUCUUGUUCACCAGUUUCAAAAAGAAAAGGCCUAAGAUUCCAUUCAUAAAAAGUGUUUCUUCUUUUGCUUUUACCAAAGAUUGGUCUCCUCCUUUUUUCAUUUUCAUCCUUCUCAUCAUCUUUACAUUCCUUCUGUGUACAAUGUAAACCCAGAUGCAAAGGAACACUUGAAUUAAAACGGUAAUUUAUUUUGAUAUUUUGGCUUCUUCUGGUUAUGCUAAUUCCUUAUUUUCCAUCAUCAUCGUCCAUUGUAAUCAAUAAAUGAUCACCUUACUAAAUGAUACAAGUUGGAGAUGAUAAAAUUUUCAAUUAUCAGGUAUAUUGGGUUGAAAGGGUAUAAUGAAAAUCCUAAUGGGUUGCAUGAAAAGGUCAAAGAAUUGAACAGCACGAAGAAAAUACAAGAACGGCAACAAAAAAAGGAGAAACUGAAAAGACGAGAUGAAAGAUGGAACUGUUUAUGUUAAGUACUAUGUUUAAAGAGUCAUUUGAAGGCCUAUUACAGGGUUAACCUGGUCAAUUCUGGAAUCAAAGGGUAACUUAGUUGUUGUGUUUAAAUUGGACAACAACAAUGACAUUGAAAGGAUGAAAAGGAAAAGGAAAACUGCAGUGAAAAGGGAAAAAUCAGGACUUUGAAUACAUUUUUAAAAGCAAAAUGAGACCGACAAAGACCAGUAACUUCAGUCCAGUGAAGAGGAGGAUCAAGAGGUGGACAGGGCGAGAGAGAGAUGAAGAAAGAUGAUGAUGAUGAUGAUUUAAGGAAAGGAUUAGCUGAUUGUGAGGGCCGAGUUGUGGGCUUGGUUCUUUGUGUUCAACAAACCUUGCACUACUUACCUAACCAAUCGUUGGUUGAUCACAAAACAAGCUUAUUUGACAAUAAAUGUUCAAUAAUAUGAUGAUGAUGAAGACAACGAUGACGACGGCGAUAAGGAUGAUGAUGAGGAAUGAAUCUUUUGCCUGCUUCUUAAGCAUUACUAUUUGGACAAAGUUACAGUCAACAACCAUGGUGUUGGUCAACAGUUUUGUAUGGAAAAAAAGGUCAAUUGAAAGGGUAACCUUGUGACCUCCUGGUGAGUAUCUACACUGUGGUCACUUUCACAAAAUUUAUCAAAAAUGAGGAACUAAAGAAACGGUUAAACCAUUCUUUAUUCAUCUUCUUAUGUCUACCUUUUUUUGGCUUUAAGGCUUAACAAGGCUUUUUUUGCCUUGAUAAUUUUUAGUCUUUGCAUUGACCGUUGAGUACACACACACUAAUAAAUAUAUACUUUCAAUAUAAAUGACCUUUCACCCUUUUUUUACCUUUGUUUUUUUAUAUUUUUCCAACUAUUGACCAGGUCAAGCCAUUAUAACCUCGUUCCACUUGAAGAUGUGGUCGGAAUCUUUGGAAAUGCUCAAAAACCUUUCAACUUAACUUCUUAGCUUCAUGUAAAUGCAUUGCAUUACAAUGAUACUUUUUUUGUUGUCUAUUGGCUUUUUGGAUUCAAUAUUUUUUGUGUAUUUUUUUCCCUUCACAAAGAUUCAGAUUCUUUCUUUGAGAAACUGAAUUCUUAUCAGCCUAUCAUUAUUGAAAUAGGUCUAGGUUAAGGUUGAUGUUUGUCAACAAAAAUGUGUUUACAAUGUUUACUAUUUAAGCAAUUGUUGAUUACGUUUUUUUUGUUGUUGUCUCAUUUGCUUGCUCAACUGUUGUUACCAUUAUUUCAUUAUUUGGCCAACCUUUUGUUACUUUGAUCAACAAUGAAAUGACCAAUUGUAAUUUACAGAUUAACACUCAAUAGGUUAAAUGGUUAGUGAAAUAAAGGAUUAAAUUGGUAUUGUGAGAUUGAAAAUUUGAAUAAAUCUAGGAUUAGCUCAGAAGGUGACCAUAUUUCAGGUUGUUUUAUAAAAUAUUACCCUAAAAUUAUAAACUUAAAUGGAUAAGUUGAAAGGCUAAUAAUUAAUAGUCUUACCUGAUCAAUAAAUUUGGUAUAAUUGUUCACAGGACUUGUCGAUACUCCCACAAAUAUACUGGACGUCAAAUUUUGAGCUUCAGGAUUGUCCCGUGUAAAUUUAGAAAUGGCUUCAAAGUAAACCAAAUAAGUGAGGGCUGAACCAGCAAAGGCACCAACAAAUUGACCGAUGAUAUAAUGAGGAACCUUGGACCAAGAUAAUUUACCAACUGAGGCAAGACCCAAAGUUACCGUUGGAUUGACAUGACCGCCUUUUAACGCAAUUUAUAUUUUGAUAACAAAUAAUGCAUAAAUUAAUCAAAUGGACAUCAUUACCAUAAACUGUUUUAAACUGAUUACAAUAAUAUCAACACAGAAUAUAUAAUAUUUAUUAUAAUAAUGAAAGGUAUACCUGAUACACCACCACAAACGUAUAUUGCUGAUGUUAGCGCAAGGCCCCAAACCCAAGGUGUUAAUAAUGGUGAUGAGAUAUUUUUAAGGAAUAAAUUUGCAUUCACAGAAAAGCCUAAGCCCUAAUUGUAGGUGUAUAAUUAAAUUAAAAAGAGGGAUAAAAAAUUGGAUAAAAAAUGACAUGUAAAUGAUAAUAAUUUCACAUGUAAACAAGUGUCCUCAGACCUGAAAAAAUUACAGUUUCAAAUCUAAAGAGUGUCAACCUUUCAUUGUACACUCAAUUAGAGAAAUGUGCAAGUUGAUUCGAUUAUAAUUAACUGAUUCACCCAAUAUUUACUAAUAAAAUAUGCAUUAGUAUAUUAUCUGGAUUUAGCGACAAAUUGCAAAUGUAAA